Molecule: non-coding RNA, 1368 nt
Organism: Chrysemys picta bellii (western painted turtle)
Lineage: Eukaryota; Metazoa; Chordata; Testudines; Emydidae
Source: RefSeq, a predicted model, not a curated record
CAGGGCUGAGACAGGGAGUGGGGCCAUUCAGGAUAUGGGGCAGCAGGGGAGCCCUGCAAAGCUGGGGCUGAGCCGCAGGGAUGGCUGAGCAAGGCGAUGGGAGAUCUGGAGCAAGCGCUGCACCAACAGAGGACCAGAUUCCACUCUCUAUUACGCUCGUUGUAAAUCUGGAGUAACUGCAUUGACAUUAGCGGAGUCGCUCCAGGUUUACACUGCUGCUGCUGCGAUGUGAAUCCAGCCGUCACCUGCAUCGAGAACAUUCCACGUUCAGUCCUGCCCUACCUCUGCUCGACAGUGUGUUAGAGCUCUUCUGGGUGCCCGGCCGCUGGGAUCAGUGCCCGGCUUGGCACCCAGGCCCGCUCCUCUCAGAUCCCGUGUUGGGCCACUGGCCGGCCAAGGCCUGCAGGUCCUGUGAAGCCAAGAAUGGGGCCGGCAGCAUAGAACAGCGUAAAACCCUGCCUGGUUGGGGAGCUGUGUGCUGGGCACCCUGUGCGGAAACCAGCCACCCCACCGACUGUCUGGGGACUCCUCCCUCUGCUGAAGGCGCAGCACGUCCCCUCUCCCAACCACAUGUCCAUCUGUCUGUCCAUCCCUUGAGAUCAGCACCUGGUGGGGUGGCAGGUUCCGCCUUCCCCAGGUCAGAGGAGGUGAUUGCUUCCUCCUGCAUCUCUGGUUGCUGCUCAGGACAGGUACAAAUGCCACAGUGCUGCCAUCGGUUACAGCAGAAUAAAUCCUGAUUAGCCCCAGUUGCUCCAGGUUUUAUACCGCUGCUGGUGAGAUCAAAAUCUGGCCCAUGGCCUGCACUGAGAACAUGCCAUGUGCUGGCCCCAGGCAAGGGGGUGGGGGAGCCCUGGGUCACCUCCCCUUCCCCCAUUGCUGCCAUGGGUUCUACCCCAGACCCUGGGUUCCUCUUUAGCGGCUCACGCCCCCUCAGGACUCGACAGGCUCGGCUUCUCUCCCGCGCAGUUUCAGAUCCGGGCGCUGGAGUCUCAGAAGCAGCAGCAGGAAAUCGUGCUGUGAAGGAAAACCCAGGAGGAAGAAGUUCCCAAAGAAGGGGAUGAGCCAGACCUUCAGCAAGGCGGCCCGGCUCAAGUGGCAGUCGCUGGAGCGGCGCAUCUUUGACGUUGUCAUGCAAAAGAUGACCAUCGUCAACCUGGAGGCGGAUAUGGAGCGGCUGAUCAAGAAACGCGAGGAGCUGGCGCUGCUGCAGGGGAAGAGGGGAAAGCUGCAGGCGGAGAGCCCGGAGGAGCAGAAGGGCCUGCAGAGCUGAACGAGGAGAUCAAGGUGCUGACCGCCAACAUUGACUACAUCACCGACAGCAUCGCCGACUGCCAGGCCACCAUCAUGCAGCUGGAGUAGACCAAGGUG